This 480-nucleotide long non-coding RNA is filed under the name Homo sapiens (human). RNAcentral's name for it is "non-protein coding lnc-KRTAP13-1-1:4". Lineage: Eukaryota; Metazoa; Chordata; Mammalia; Primates; Hominidae. The record is from RNAcentral.
CACCUCCAUCUUUCUCUCUCUCUCUCACUGCUUCCUCUGGGGGAAGUCAGCUACUACCUAGUGAAGACACUCAGGUAGCCUCCUGUCAAGUCACAGAGAUCUCUUAACAACCAUCUGAGAGAGCUUGGAAGCAGACCAUUGAACCCCAGACAAGCUUUGCGAUGAGACGGCAACCCCAGCUUCCGGCUUGGCUACAGCCUAAGACACCCUGAGCCAGAACCAUCCAGCUAAGCCCCUCGCAGAUUCCCCACCCACGAAAAUGCUGAGAUGACACAUAAAUUUCUUUAGCUGUGUAGCUGGGCUGGAAGGCUGCGGUUGGCUGAAGGCCGACUCCUGUGAUUGACGGAAAGGAAACAGCCAUUGAAAGAGGAGGAGCAAGAAAAUUGGCACUAGUUGCCUACUUAAAGCUAAAAAUUAGAAAAAUAAAUUAAUAAGAACUUUCAAAAUGUGUACAUGAUCUUUUUUUAUUGACUAGAAAAC